RNAcentral lists this ribosomal RNA (382 nucleotides) under uncultured bacterium. Its description in RNAcentral is "bacterial SSU rRNA". It matches the Rfam family "Bacterial small subunit ribosomal RNA", at positions 32 to 391 of the family's 1533-position model. The record is from RNAcentral.
AAUCAACGCUGGCGGCGUGCCUCAGACAUGCAAGUCGAACGCGAAAGUUUCCUUCGGGAGAUGAGUAGAGUGGCGCACAGGUGAGUAACACGUGAGUAAUUUACCUCGGUGGGAAUACUAACCGGAAACGGUUGUUAAUACCGCAUAAUGCAGCGGCAUCAAUGAUGACAGUUGUUAAAGCGGGGGAUUGGAGCAAUCCGACCUCGCGCCUGAAGAGAAGCNCGCGGCAGAUUAGCUAGUUGGUAAGGUAAUGGCUUACCAAGGCGACGAUCUGUAACCGGCCUGAGAGGGCGGUCGGUCACACUGACACUGAAUAACGGGUCAGACUCCUACGGGAGGCAGCAGUCGGGAAUUUUGGGCAAUGGGCGCAAGCCUGACCCAG